This 2904-nucleotide ribosomal RNA is filed under the name Escherichia coli. RNAcentral's name for it is "23S ribosomal RNA". It matches the Rfam family "Bacterial large subunit ribosomal RNA". The record is from RNAcentral. Lineage: Bacteria; Pseudomonadati; Pseudomonadota; Gammaproteobacteria; Enterobacterales; Enterobacteriaceae.
GGUUAAGCGACUAAGCGUACACGGUGGAUGCCCUGGCAGUCAGAGGCGAUGAAGGACGUGCUAAUCUGCGAUAAGCGUCGGUAAGGUGAUAUGAACCGUUAUAACCGGCGAUUUCCGAAUGGGGAAACCCAGUGUGAUUCGUCACACUAUCAUUAACUGAAUCCAUAGGUUAAUGAGGCGAACCGGGGGAACUGAAACAUCUAAGUACCCCGAGGAAAAGAAAUCAACCGAGAUUCCCCCAGUAGCGGCGAGCGAACGGGGAGCAGCCCAGAGCCUGAAUCAGUGUGUGUGUUAGUGGAAGCGUCUGGAAAGGCGCGCGAUACAGGGUGACAGCCCCGUACACAAAAAUGCACAUACUGUGAGCUCGAUGAGUAGGGCGGGACACGUGGUAUCCUGUCUGAAUAUGGGGGGACCAUCCUCCAAGGCUAAAUACUCCUGACUGACCGAUAGUGAACCAGUACCGUGAGGGAAAGGCGAAAAGAACCCCGGCGAGGGGAGUGAAAAAGAACCUGAAACCGUGUACGUACAAGCAGUGGGAGCCUCUUAAUGGGGUGACUGCGUACCUUUUGUAUAAUGGGUCAGCGACUUAUAUUCUGUAGCAAGGUUAACCGAAUAGGGGAGCCGAAGGGAAACCGAGUCUUAACUGGGCGUUAAGUUGCAGGGUAUAGACCCGAAACCCGGUGAUCUAGCCAUGGGCAGGUUGAAGGUUGGGUAACACUAACUGGAGGACCGAACCGACUAAUGUUGAAAAAUUAGCGGAUGACUUGUGGCUGGGGGUGAAAGGCCAAUCAAACCGGGAGAUAGCUGGUUCUCCCCGAAAGCUAUUUAGGUAGCGCCUCGUGAAUUCAUCUCCGGGGGUAGAGCACUGUUUCGGCAAGGGGGUCAUCCCGACUUACCAACCCGAUGCAAACUGCGAAUACCGGAGAAUGUUAUCACGGGAGACACACGGCGGGUGCUAACGUCCGUCGUGAAGAGGGAAACAACCCAGACCGCCAGCUAAGGUCCCAAAGUCAUGGUUAAGUGGGAAACGAUGUGGGAAGGCCCAGACAGCCAGGAUGUUGGCUUAGAAGCAGCCAUCAUUUAAAGAAAGCGUAAUAGCUCACUGGUCGAGUCGGCCUGCGCGGAAGAUGUAACGGGGCUAAACCAUGCACCGAAGCUGCGGCAGCGACACUAUGUGUUGUUGGGUAGGGGAGCGUUCUGUAAGCCUGUGAAGGUGUACUGUGAGGUAUGCUGGAGGUAUCAGAAGUGCGAAUGCUGACAUAAGUAACGAUAAAGCGGGUGAAAAGCCCGCUCGCCGGAAGACCAAGGGUUCCUGUCCAACGUUAAUCGGGGCAGGGUGAGUCGACCCCUAAGGCGAGGCCGAAAGGCGUAGUCGAUGGGAAACAGGUUAAUAUUCCUGUACUUGGUGUUACUGCGAAGGGGGGACGGAGAAGGCUAUGUUGGCCGGGCGACGGUUGUCCCGGUUUAAGCGUGUAGGCUGGUUUUCCAGGCAAAUCCGGAAAAUCAAGGCUGAGGCGUGAUGACGAGGCACUACGGUGCUGAAGCAACAAAUGCCCUGCUUCCAGGAAAAGCCUCUAAGCAUCAGGUAACAUCAAAUCGUACCCCAAACCGACACAGGUGGUCAGGUAGAGAAUACCAAGGCGCUUGAGAGAACUCGGGUGAAGGAACUAGGCAAAAUGGUGCCGUAACUUCGGGAGAAGGCACGCUGAUAUGUAGGUGAAGUCCCUCGCGGAUGGAGCUGAAAUCAGUCGAAGAUACCAGCUGGCUGCAACUGUUUAUUAAAAACACAGCACUGUGCAAACACGAAAGUGGACGUAUACGGUGUGACGCCUGCCCGGUGCCGGAAGGUUAAUUGAUGGGGUUAGCGGUAACGCGAAGCUCUUGAUCGAAGCCCCGGUAAACGGCGGCCGUAACUAUAACGGUCCUAAGGUAGCGAAAUUCCUUGUCGGGUAAGUUCCGACCUGCACGAAUGGCGUAAUGAUGGCCAGGCUGUCUCCACCCGAGACUCAGUGAAAUUGAACUCGCUGUGAAGAUGCAGUGUACCCGCGGCAAGACGGAAAGACCCCGUGAACCUUUACUAUAGCUUGACACUGAACAUUGAGCCUUGAUGUGUAGGAUAGGUGGGAGGCUUUGAAGUGUGGACGCCAGUCUGCAUGGAGCCGGCCUUGAAAUACCACCCUUUAAUGUUUGAUGUUCUAACGUUGGCCCCUGAUCGGGGUUGCGGACAGUGUCUGGUGGGUAGUUUGACUGGGGCGGUCUCCUCCUAAAGAGUAACGGAGGAGCACGAAGGUUGGCUAAUCCUGGUCGGACAUCAGGAGGUUAGUGCAAUGGCAUAAGCCAGCUUGACUGCGAGCGUGACGGCGCGAGCAGGUGCGAAAGCAGGUCAUAGUGAUCCGGUGGUUCUGAAUGGAAGGGCCAUCGCUCAACGGAUAAAAGGUACUCCGGGGAUAACAGGCUGAUACCGCCCAAGAGUUCAUAUCGACGGCGGUGUUUGGCACCUCGAUGUCGGCUCAUCACAUCCUGGGGCUGAAGUAGGUCCCAAGGGUAUGGCUGUUCGCCAUUUAAAGUGGUACGCGAGCUGGGUUUAGAACGUCGUGAGACAGUUCGGUCCCUAUCUGCCGUGGGCGCUGGAGAACUGAGGGGGGCUGCUCCUAGUACGAGAGGACCGGAGUGGACGCAUCACUGGUGUUCGGGUUGUCAUGCCAAUGGCACUGCCCGGUAGCUAAAUGCGGAAGAGAUAAGUGCUGAAAGCAUCUAAGCACGAAACUUGCCCCGAGAUGAGUUCUCCCUGACUCCUUGAGAGUCCUGAAGGAACGUUGAAGACGACGACGUUGAUAGGCCGGGUGUGUAAGCGCAGCGAUGCGUUGAGCUAACCGGUACUAAUGAACCGUGAGGCUUAACCUU